This 253-nucleotide ribosomal RNA is filed under the name uncultured bacterium. RNAcentral describes it as "partial 16S ribosomal RNA". It matches the Rfam family "Bacterial small subunit ribosomal RNA", at positions 524 to 776 of the family's 1533-position model. The record is from RNAcentral.
UACGUAGGGUGCGAGCGUUGUUCGGAAUUACUGGGCGUAAAGCGUGCGCAGGCGGUGAUGUAAGACAGGUGUGAAAUCCCCGGGCUUAACCUGGGAACUGCAUUUGUGACUGCAUCGCUGGAGUGCGGCAGAGGGGGAUGGAAUUCCGCGUGUAGCAGUGAAAUGCGUAGAUAUGCGGAGGAACACCGAUGGCGAAGGCAAUCCCCUGGGCCUGCACUGACGCUCAUGCACGAAAGCGUGGGGAGCAAACAGG